UAACUGGAGAGUUUGAUCCUGGCUCAGAAUGAACGCUGGCGGCGUGCCUAACACAUGCAAGUCGAACGAGAAAGUUCCCUUCGGGGGAUGAGUACAGUGGCAGACGGGUGAGUAACACGUGGGUAAUCUGCCCGAAGGUGGGGGAUAACUCUUCGAAAGGAGAGCUAAUACCGCAUAACACCUCGAGGCCUUCGGGCCUUGAGUUCAAAGGUAGCCUCUAUUUAUAAGCUAUCGCCAUCGGAGGAGCCCGCGCCCCAUUAGUUUGUUGGUGAGGUAAAAGCUCACCAAGACUACGAUGGGUAGCCGGCCUGAGAGGGUGAUCGGCCACACUGGAACUGAGACACGGUCCAGACUCCUACGGGAGGCAGCAGUGAGGAAUCUUGCGCAAUGGGGGAAACCCUGACGCAGCGACGCCGCGUGGAGGACGAAGGCCUUCGGGUCGUAAACUCCUGUCAAGAGGGACGAAUCCCGGUCGGAUGAAUAAGCCGGUCGGUUGACGGUACCUCUGAAGGAAGCCCCGGCUAACUCCGUGCCAGCAGCCGCGGUAAUACGGAGGGGGCAAGCGUUGUUCGGAAUUAUUGGGCGUAAAGGGCGCGUAGGCUGCUGUGCAAGUCAAAGGUGAAAUCCCUCGGCUCAACCGAGGAACUGCCUCUGAUACUGCACAGCUUGAGUCCCGGAGAGGGUGGCGGAAUUCCCAGUGUAGCGGUGAAAUGCGUAGAUAUUGGGAGGAACACCAGUGGCGAAGGCGGUCACCUGGACGGGUACUGACGCUGAGGCGCGAAAGCGUGGG
This 790-nucleotide ribosomal RNA is filed under the name Acidobacteriota bacterium. RNAcentral's name for it is "bacterial SSU rRNA". It matches the Rfam family "Bacterial small subunit ribosomal RNA", at positions 1 to 765 of the family's 1533-position model. Lineage: Bacteria; Pseudomonadati; Acidobacteriota. The record is from RNAcentral.